RNAcentral lists this ribosomal RNA (1024 nucleotides) under uncultured Fusobacteriota bacterium. RNAcentral's name for it is "bacterial SSU rRNA". It matches the Rfam family "Bacterial small subunit ribosomal RNA", at positions 48 to 1085 of the family's 1533-position model. The record is from RNAcentral. Lineage: Bacteria; Fusobacteriati; Fusobacteriota.
CUUACACAUGCAAGUCGACUGGAAUUCACCUUCGGGUGAUAGUACGGUGGCGGACGGGUGAGUAACGCGUAAAGAACUUGCCCUCUAGACUGGGACAACUGUUGGAAACGACAGCUAAUACCGGAUAUUAUGGACCCCUGGCAUCUGGGGACUAUGAAAGGCUAUAUGCGCUAGAGGAGAGCUUUGCGUCCCAUUAGUUAGUUGGUAGGGUAAUGGCCUACCAAGGCGACGAUGGGUAGCCGGCCUGAGAGGGUGAUCGGCCACAAGGGGACUGAGACACGGCCCUUACUCCUACGGGAGGCAGCAGUGGGGAAUAUUGGACAAUGGACCAAAAGUCUGAUCCAGCAAUUCUGUGUGCACGAUGAAGGUCUUCGGAUUGUAAAGUGCUUUCAGCAGGGAAGAAGCAAGUGACGGUACCUGCAGAAGAAGCGACGGCUAAAUACGUGCCAGCAGCCGCGGUAAUACGUAUGUCGCAAGCGAUAUCCGGAAUUAUUGGGCGUAAAGCGCGUCUAGGCGGCCUAUUAAGUCUGAUGUUAAAAUGCGGGGCUCAACUCCGUAUUGCGUUGGAAACUGGUAGGCUAGAGUAUCAGAGAGGUGGGCGGAACUACAAGUGUAGAGGUGAAAUUCGUAGAUAUUUGUAGGAAUGCCGAUGGGGAAGCCAGCUCACUGGAUGAAUACUGACGCUGAAGCGCGAAAGCGUGGGGAGCAAACGGGAUUAGAUACCCCGGUAGUCCACGCCGUAAACGAUGAUCACUAAGUGUGGGGGGUCGAACCUCCGUGCUCAAGCUAACGCGAUAAGUGAUCCGCCUGGGGAGUACGUACGCAAGUAUGAAACUCAAAGGAAUUGACGGGGACCCGCACAAGCGGUGGAGCAUGUGGUUUAAUUCGACGCAACGCGAGGAACCUUACCAGCCCUUGACAUCCCAAGAACUUAGCAGAGAUGCUUUGGUGCCCCUUCGGGGGAACUUGAUGACAGGUGGUGCAUGGCUGUCGUCAGCUCGUGUCGUGAGAUGUUGGGUUAAGU